CAGAGCUUUGUUGUCAACGACCACGGAUGACGAGGAUUUCCCAUCCCUUGUGAAUGCGGACGCAGUUAAAAGAUACUUCGUAAAAAAUGAGCUUUGUUGUCAACGACCACGGAUGACGAGGAUUUCCCAUCCCUUGUGAAUGCGGACGCAGUUAAAAGAUACUUCGUAAAAAAGAGACCCGCUGGACAAAAAGAAUAAAAUAGUCCAGGCAAAAAAGGGAAUCCCGG
RNAcentral lists this long non-coding RNA (227 nucleotides) under Lathyrus oleraceus (garden pea). RNAcentral's name for it is "Pisum sativum (pea) long non-coding RNA (PSAT_LNC013440)". Lineage: Eukaryota; Viridiplantae; Streptophyta; Magnoliopsida; Fabales; Fabaceae. The record is from RNAcentral.